Molecule: long non-coding RNA, 2845 nt
Filed under: Xyrichtys novacula (pearly razorfish)
Lineage: Eukaryota; Metazoa; Chordata; Actinopteri; Labriformes; Labridae
Source: RNAcentral
GGUUUUAUUACUUGUUUGUGGAUCUAUUUGCUCCAUUUAAUGGGCAGUAUCUUGUUUUAUGAAACCGUUAAGUCAGAUCCAGCUAAACUGGGCUCUGUGUCACUUGUGUUUUUCGGGACACAGAUGCUCUCCAGCUUUCCCUCUAUCCUCCCUCCAUCCUCAGAGGAGGAGGAGGAUGAAAAGCAGAGAAAGAGAACAGAACUGGGAGCUGGAACUGAGGAUGUAAAAAACCUGGAUCAUCUGAUUCCCUCUCUUCCUCUCACCCCUCCCCUCCUCUCUCUUCUCUCUCCCUCUGACUGCGCCCAACUUCUCUCCCUCCAUCCUCUCAGAUAGCUACAGUUUCCACCUCCUGACUGCACCCAGCGCACACAAAACCUGAUUCCGGAGGGUUUAGGAUGUUGCUCGGUUCCUGUACUCUUCUGGAUUUGGACUAUUUGCAUUGGAAGAGUUAUCUAUAGAAGAAAAAAAAGGCAAGGCGAUUGGUUUUGCUGCAGAAAAAGAGGACGCACCGACCUCCGCAUCCCCCGCAGCAUCACUCCUCUCCACCCGCAUCCUCAGCAUCCUUGCAUGGACAUCCAGAGGGGAGCCGCGGACCGGGCUGCGCACGCGAAUCAAGCCGGUGAAAGCGUUCGAUUAUCGGGCAAACACAACAUCUCGCAUCGGUGCUUUUAUGGAGGUCUGGGCUCACACCGUUAAAUGUCUGUUUAGUUUAAAUAAUAGAAAACUGCGCCAUAAAUCCUGCAUCCUACCACAAAAGGUAUUGUUAAAUGUUUUUCACAAGUUGAUACAUCGGUGUAUAUUGGUGAAUUAAAAGCUUUUAUUUUGGUUUAGGCCUUUUUAAACCUCCGUCAGCUUCUUUCAUUGGCGCUAAAUCUGCUCCUGCAAAAUCCGCAGUGAGCUUUCCUGCUCUGCGGAAUUUCUAUUUCUGACUAUUUUUUUUAAAACAUGAAAAAUGAAGAUGAUAUGCUGCAAAAUUCAACUAUAAAUACUCAAAAAUGCCUCUGAAGUAUUGCAUUUUGAUAGUCCAUGGUGCAUUAUGGUGUCCUAAUUGCAUAAAACACUUUACAUCUAUUAUUCAAGCUAUGAAAAUGUAAUGUAAAUGGGACAUUUAACUAUUCAUAUUUUCAGUCUUUUUAAUAUUCUGUCUCUGUUAAUGUGUUCCAUUUUUUCAGAUUUUUUUUUAUAUAGGCUUUAAUACACACGCCCGACCCCCACAAAGGCAGCCACCCCCCACCCCCCCUUAUCCUCCCCUUUCUCUCCCUCAUCUCCCUCCCCUCUGCAUUUUAGCCAACAUGAGCUAUCUGGGUCAUUAGCAUUUCAGCGGGUAAUGAGGCUGCAGAUGGGUCCAUGCCUUCCCCUCUGCCGGAGAGCCUUUGAGCAUCACACAUGCCUUCACCGCAGCUGAGUUUAAAAGAAAAAGACAGAAGCAAAAUCGACAUGAUGAGAGGAUGUUUUUGGAGCUGUCAGGAUUGUGUACUCAUGUGGGAUAAGGAGUAAAAUCGCAGCAGCAGCUUCCUUCCCUGCAGCUGUGUCAUUAAUGCAGUGCUGUAUAAGAACGUGCAUUAUGUCUGCUGCUGCUGCUGGAUAAUGGAGGAUAAUGCUGUAAUGCUGCUGCAGUGCUGCUUAAAGGACUAUACCGUGUCCUUAUUUGUGCAUUUUGCAAUUCUGCACAUUCUCACAUCACAUUUAAGCUCCCUUUUUUUCAUGCUGCAUUAUUUCAGAUGUUCCAGGAAGCCAUUUUUAGCUUGCACUCAUUUCAUGAAAAUGAAAUAACACUUGCUCCAGAUAGACAGUCCAUCUCAGCCAACAUGUUGUGCUUAAACUGGAGCUUUAAUUGCAUUACCAGUCGAUGUGAUGCAGUUUGAAGUGUUGGAUCUCAAGCAAGAGGGGCCAAAAAUAAACCUGGAGGAGAAGGUCACAUGAUCAGAGGAAUAAUGCAGAAAAUAACACAUCCUUCACCAAAGACGGCAUUUUUCUCUCUUCUUUUUAUAUUUUCAGGUCUUUUGUUCUCACUGUAGCCUGUAAAAUAAAGCAGCAUAUUGACAUUAUUCUGUUUUUUUCAUGUCAAGGUGAGAAAUUAAUGUGAACCCGAGGCUGCUUGGAUGCCCUAUUUUUAAAAGAAAUAGCAUUGUAGCAUCAGGAUUACAACAUGCAGAUUGCUUGUGUUUUCUAUUUAGGUUAGUGUUGUGCAAAUACGCCGUAAAGUAUUUUACAAAAUUUGCAGGGAAAAAAAGGUUGAUUUAGUCAGUUUAGCAUCCUUUGCUAUAACCUCGCUCUGCAUGUGGCCUCUUGUGUGGAGGUCAGCAGGACAUCCUUGCCAGCUUAUCUUAAAGCCAACAUCAACACAUACACACUCACACAAACAUCCACACAUAUCUAUAGAGCUUUACAGCAUCUUAAACUGUCCUGAGCUGCAGGAGGAGACAGAGCGCUGCAGAAAGAGGGGGUGUUAGAGCUGCUUUUGUGUUGUGAGCGAGCUGAUUCUGCUUUAAUACAUCAUGUACUUUAAUUCAUUGUAGUCAGGCUAAUGCUGUUUUACAGUAUAAUCAGCAUUAAUCGUACUGCAGACUCUAUUAACAGUGUAAAUGCUUUGAAAAUCCAGUUUUUCACUACAUACUUUGCUAAUCUUAGAUUUAUGUACAUUUUAUCAAGUUAAUGUCACCAUGAAUGAAGCCAGCACAACAUGCAUUUGUUAAGCUAACAAACUCGAAGGCCUGAAAGUGAGUUUACAACAUACAGUAGGAUGAAGUAUUACCAGUUUUGUAUUACCAAAAUCUAAUAGGACACAUUCACCAGGGUUGACACACAUAUUUAGACAUUUUUUAUGCUGUACAUAAUGAUAUCA